UUUCCGUAGGUGAACCUGCGGAAGGAUCAUUAAAGAAUUGCCCCGUCUUCUCGAUGAUGGGUUCUAUUCCAAACCGUGUUUACAUACCUUUGUUGCUUUGGCGGGCCGCCGCUUCGGCGUUGGCUCCGGCUGACUGCGCCCGCCAGAGGACCACAACUCUUUUGUUUAGUAAUGUCUGAGUACUAUAUAAUAGUUAAAACUUUCAACAACGGAUCUCUUGGUUCUG
RNAcentral lists this unclassified non-coding RNA (226 nucleotides) under plant metagenome. Its description in RNAcentral is "partial contains small subunit ribosomal RNA, internal transcribed spacer 1, and 5.8S ribosomal RNA". The record is from RNAcentral.